RNAcentral lists this ribosomal RNA (597 nucleotides) under uncultured Bacilli bacterium. Its description in RNAcentral is "bacterial SSU rRNA". It matches the Rfam family "Bacterial small subunit ribosomal RNA", at positions 134 to 719 of the family's 1533-position model. Lineage: Bacteria; Bacillati; Bacillota; Bacilli. The record is from RNAcentral.
UAGCGGGGGAUAACUAUUGGAAACGAUAGCUAAUACCGCAUAACAAUGGAUGACCCAUGUCAUUUAUUUGAAAGGGGCAAAUGCUCCACUACAAGAUGGACCUGCGUUGUAUUAGCUAGUAGGUGAGGUAACGGCUCACCUAGGCGACGAUACAUAGCCGACCUGAGAGGGUGAUCGGCCACACUGGGACUGAGACACGGCCCAGACUCCUACGGGGGGCAGCAGUAGGGAAUCUUCGGCAAUGGGGGCAACCCUGACCGAGCAACGCCGCGUGAGUGAAGAAGGUUUUCGGAUCGUAAAGCUCUGUUGUAAGUCAAGAACGAGUGUGAGAGUGGAAAGUUCACACUGUGACGGUAGCUUACCAGAAAGGGACGGCUAACUACGUGCCAGCAGCCGCGGUAAUACGUAGGUCCCGAGCGUUGUCCGGAUUUAUUGGGCGUAAAGCGAGCGCAGGCGGUUUGAUAAGUCUGAAGUUAAAGGCUGUGGCUCAACCAUAGUUCGCUUUGGAAACUGUCAAACUUGAGUGCAGAAGGGGAGAGUGGAAUUCCAUGUGUAGCGGUGAAAUGCGUAGAUAUAUGGAGGAACACCGGUGGCGAA